RNAcentral lists this ribosomal RNA (140 nucleotides) under Selaginella moellendorffii. Lineage: Eukaryota; Viridiplantae; Streptophyta; Lycopodiopsida; Selaginellales; Selaginellaceae. The record is from RNAcentral.
AUUCUGGUGUCUUAGUCGUAGAGGAACCACACCAAUCCAUCCCGAACUCGGUGGUGAAACUCUACUGCGGUGACGAUACUGCAGGGGAAGCCCCGCGGGAAAAUAGCUCGGCGCCAGGGUGUGAAGAAGCUUAGCGCCCA